AAACCAACAGGGAUUGCCCUAGUAACGGCGAGUGAAGCGGCAACAGCUCAAAUUUGAAAUCUGGCUUCGGCCCGAGUUGUAAUUUGUAGAGGAAGAUUCUGGCGAGGCACCUGCUGAGUCCCCUGGAACGGGGCGCCAUAGAGGGUGAGAGCCCCGUAUAGUUGGAUGCCGAGCCGAUGUGAAUCUCCUUCGACGAGUCGAGUAGUUUGGGAAUGCUGCUCAAAAUGGGAGGUAAAUUUCUUCUAAAGCUAAAUACCGGCCAGAGACCGAUAGCGCACAAGUAGAGUGAUCGAAAGAUGAAAAGCACUUUGAAAAGAGGGUUAAACAGCACGUGAAAUUGUUGAAAGGGAAGCGCUUGUGACCAGACUUGCGCCCGGUUGAUCAUCCGGUGUUCUCACCGGUGCACUCUGCCGGGCUCAGGCCAGCAUCGGUUCUCUUGGGGGAAUAAAGGUCCAGGGAACGUGGCUCUUCCGGGAGUGUUAUAGCCCUGGGCGCAACGCCCUCGAGGGGACCGAGGUUCGCGCAUCUGCAAGGAUGCUGGCGUAAUGGUCAUCAGCGAC
This 560-nucleotide ribosomal RNA is filed under the name [Taeniolella] phialosperma. RNAcentral's name for it is "LSU rRNA". It matches the Rfam family "Eukaryotic large subunit ribosomal RNA", at positions 62 to 648 of the family's 3401-position model. The record is from RNAcentral. Lineage: Eukaryota; Fungi; Ascomycota; Sordariomycetes; Sordariales.